RNAcentral lists this ribosomal RNA (253 nucleotides) under uncultured bacterium. Its description in RNAcentral is "partial 16S ribosomal RNA". It matches the Rfam family "Bacterial small subunit ribosomal RNA", at positions 524 to 776 of the family's 1533-position model. The record is from RNAcentral.
UACGUAGGGUGCGAGCGUUGUCCGGAAUUACUGGGCGUAAAGAGCUCGUAGGUGGUUUGUCGCGUUGUUCGUGAAAACUCACAGCUUAACUGUGGGCGUGCGGGCGAUACGGGCAGACUGGAGUACUGCAGGGGAGACUGGAAUUCCUGGUGUAGCGGUGGAAUGCGCAGGUAUCAGGAGGAACACCGGUGGCGAAGGCGGGUCUCUGGGCAGUAACUGACGCUGAGGAGCGAAAGCGUGGGGAGCGAACAGG